Molecule: long non-coding RNA, 293 nt
Organism: Papilio xuthus (Asian swallowtail)
Lineage: Eukaryota; Metazoa; Arthropoda; Insecta; Lepidoptera; Papilionidae
Exons: 3
Source: RefSeq, a predicted model, not a curated record
UGGAGGUCUAGAAGGUUUAAAAGUGCUAAUAAACAUUAGGCUUGCGAGUCUCUGCGGAAGCGAUAAAGUUUCAGAUGAGGAAAGUAUGCCGCAAGCGACGAGCGCAACACUUCAGGGACGCUGACGGUUGCCCGGGCGCUGGACCGUUACGCGACAUUUCGAUUGACUAUUUGUUGUUAAUGAUUAAAAAGAACCUUACAACAUCGACAUGGAACUAAUGGAACAUGAAUAAAAUAUCGUACGUAACUCAUAGCCAAAUUAGAAUGAGUCCGAGAUUUCAAGUAAUUUGUCAG